This is a long non-coding RNA of Oncorhynchus keta (chum salmon), 1612 nucleotides long. RefSeq lists it as uncharacterized. The record is from RefSeq and is a predicted model, not a curated record. The transcript has 2 exons. NCBI's taxonomy places the organism in Eukaryota, Metazoa, Chordata, Actinopteri, Salmoniformes, Salmonidae.
CAGUUAACUGGUGUUACUGUGUGUGUGUUCUCUCUAGGAGCAGACCCUGGGUCAGUUAACUGGUGUUACUGUGUGUGUUCUCUCUAGGAGCAGACCCUGGGUCAGUUAACUGGUGUUACUGUGUGUGUUCUCUCCAGGAGCAGACCCUGGGUCAGUUAACUGGUGUUACUGUGUGUGUGUUCUCUCUAGGAGCAGACCCUGGGUCAGUUAACUGGUGUUACUGUUAUACAGUUAACUGGUGUUACUGUGUGUGUUCUCUCUAGGAGCAGACCCUGGGUCAGUUAACUGGUGUUACUCUGUGUGUGUUCUCUCUAGGAGCAGACCCUGGGUCAGUUAACUGGUGUUACUGUUAUACAGGUAACUGUUGUUACUGUGUGUGUUCUCUCCAGGAGCAGACCCUGGGUCAGUUAACUGGUGUUACUCUGUGUGUGUUCUCUCUAGGAGCAGACCCUGGGUCAGUUAACUGGUGUUACUGUGUGUUCUCUCCAGGAACAGACCCUGGGUCAGUUACUAGACAUCCUGUCUCAGGAUUCAGAGGGCUUCCCCAGACGUGCUGUGGUCCAGUACUUCAUCAGCUGGCUAAAGACACACCCUUCAUCUUCCUCCUCCUCCUCCUCCUCGCUGUGUUCUGUCCUAUCGCUGGGCAGCACUGAUCUGGACUGGGAGGUCAAAGUUCACACCCUGGAGCUGGUUGAGCUCCUAAUGGAGGAAACACUACCAGGUCACCAGGAGUCAGAGCUGGGGUCAACUCCUCCCCUUACGGUGGCUCUGGAGGGACAAACCUACUAACACACACUGACCUCACACAUCCCUACGCUGUGACGCCAAGCCAGCCCUCACCCCUUCUAACACACACCCCAACUGACACACACACCCCCUCACACACACACACACCCAACUACAUCUGUAGUGUGUGGUCUGUCUCGGUUGGUGGAGCUCGGUGUUAUAACAGCGUUAUUCAAUGGCCUGUUUGAUUGCGACAGACCUGUAGCUUUAAAAGCCUGUAGUCUGUUGCUACGACUACGAGACGGCGGUGUGUCCGUCCCGGUCGCUAGGGAAAGGUGCCAUGACAACUGACGACACAACAGUUGCCAAGGUGACUUUUGAUCUGAGGGGUCAGGUUUGGGAGCGGGAGGCAACGAGGAAGUUACAGGAGAAGAGAGGAUCUGAUUGGGUUAAAGAGUCCAGGGAAGUAGGUUGUGAUAGGCCGAACAAGAACAGAGAUUCUGAUAGGACAGACGGGGCUGGUUCCGAAGCCUGCGAUAGGUCGACGGGGAAGAGUGUGUGUGAGGGUAGUGCGAGGGUGUGUGAGGUGCUGUGGUCGUUGGGUCUAGAGGAGAGGCAGAGUGUGUUAUCACAGAGUAGUGACCAUGUCCAGAACUCACCCCUCUCUCUACUGGAGGACAUUCUGAACGCUACAGACACCUCACACACUGACGAGGUUAUAGUAGACUGUUACUGACACACGUCCUGAUGGACGAACACAGUUUUAUUUGUGAUGAUUGUUUCUCCUCUGUACGUUGACUAGUGACUGUAGUUAGAGUCCCAUUGGGACAUAACUGUUGAUCAUCUACCAGGAAAAUAAAUAAAGAUACUGUUUUGAUAUUUCAAA